UAACAAGAUACGUAUCGGCGAUAC
RNAcentral lists this non-coding RNA (24 nucleotides) under Drosophila melanogaster (fruit fly). The record is from RNAcentral. Lineage: Eukaryota; Metazoa; Arthropoda; Insecta; Diptera; Drosophilidae.